Molecule: ribosomal RNA, 355 nt
Filed under: Argentina sialis (Pacific argentine)
Lineage: Eukaryota; Metazoa; Chordata; Actinopteri; Argentiniformes; Argentinidae
Description: partial 12S ribosomal RNA
Rfam family: Bacterial small subunit ribosomal RNA
Source: RNAcentral
AAACUUUGAUAAAAAAAUACAAUUUAUAUCCGCCAGGGGACUACAAGCGCCAGCUUAAAACCCAAAGGACUUGGCGGUGCCCCAGACCCACCUAGAGGAGCCUGUUCUAGAACCGAUACCCCCCGUUCAACCUCACCACCCCUUGUUAACCCCGCCUAUAUACCGCCGUCGUCAGCUUACCCUGUGAAGGCUCUAUAGUAAGCAAAAGGAGUAUAACCCAAAACGUCAGGUCGAGGUGUAGCGCAUGGGGUGGGAAGAAAUGGGCUACAUUCUCUAACUUAGAGUACAAACGAAUGGCCCUGUGAAACCAGGGUCUGAAGGCGGAUUUAGCAGUAAAAAGAAAGUAGAGAGUUCU